Bos taurus (domestic cattle) is the source of this 72-nucleotide non-coding RNA. The record is from Rfam. Lineage: Eukaryota; Metazoa; Chordata; Mammalia; Artiodactyla; Bovidae.
UCCCCAGUAGCUUAGUUGGUAAAGAAUCUGCCUGCAGUGCAGGAGAUCUGGGUUCAAUCCCUGGAUCAGGAA